RNAcentral lists this transfer RNA (66 nucleotides) under Xiphydria sp. ZJUH 2008002. Its description in RNAcentral is "tRNA-Val". The record is from RNAcentral. Lineage: Eukaryota; Metazoa; Arthropoda; Insecta; Hymenoptera; Xiphydriidae.
UAAAUUUUAGUUUUAUAAAAAUAUUUUAGUUACAUUAAAAAGAAAAUUAAUUAUAAUUAAAUUUUA